AGUGAACGCUGGCGGUAGGCCUAACACAUGCAAGUCGAACGGCAGCACAGUAAGAGCUUGCUCUUACGGGUGGCGAGUGGCGGACGGGUGAGGAAUACAUCGGAAUCUACUUUUUCGUGGGGGAUAACGUAGGGAAACUUACGCUAAUACCGCAUACGACCUACGGGUGAAAGCAGGGGAUCUUCGGACCUUGCGCGAUUGAAUUAGCCGAUGUCGGAUUAGCUAGUUGGCGGGGUAAAGGCCCACCAAGGCGACGAUCCGUAGCUGGUCUGAGAGGAUGAUCAGCCACACUGGAACUGAGACACGGUCCAGACUCCUACGGGAGGCAGCAGUGGGGAAUAUUGGGCAAAGGGCGCAAGCCUGAUCCAGCCAUACCGCGUGGGUGAAGAAGGCCUUCGGGUUGUAAAGCCCUUUUGUUGGGAAAGAAAAGCAGCAGGUUAAUACCCCGCUGUUCUGACGGUACCCAAAGAAUAAGCACCGGCUAACUUCGUG
This 492-nucleotide ribosomal RNA is filed under the name uncultured bacterium. Its description in RNAcentral is "partial 16S ribosomal RNA". It matches the Rfam family "Bacterial small subunit ribosomal RNA", at positions 29 to 507 of the family's 1533-position model. The record is from RNAcentral.